UUUUUUUAAUUUUUUUACAACAUAAAUUGUUGACAAAAACCUAAAUAAGCACGAUGAUGUCAUAGUCAUCCCGCCCCUACGUUUACCGUUUCAGUUAGCGAAGAUAAUCAAUCCAUAUAUCAGCCUUUAAUUCUAACAACUACAACUAAACUUUCAUCGGUACGUUUCAGAAGCUUCUCAGUUGAAUCCUAUAAAUAUACGUCCACAUAUAACACAAUCCCCAUCUCUUAGAGCUGCCAGAAUCAAGAAGUACUCAGCAGCAGAAGAACACGGAUUCUUUGACGAAAAUAGACAAAGUAUGUAAGAGACAUAAGAGAUCUGGAACACCCUUACUCCUUGGAGCAACUAAGUGUUCUGUCUGAAGACUCCAUCACUCUCGAUGACAAGCUUAAUCGCGUCCAGUGAGUAUUAUUAGUCCUCUGUUUAAUGAUCUCACUGUGUAGUCCCAAUGAUAGUGAGAAAAAAAAGUUUAAUUUUGGAUCCAAAAGUGUGAGGCUUUUUUUUUGUGUGUACAUGAUCUUUAAUGAUUUGUGAGUUUGUGGGUUUUGGUUAUGUGAUCAAUUCACGAUAACGUUUACACCGACCAUACGGAUUAUAUGGCAACUAUAUUUGGUAUGCGUUUGAGAACUAAGCUUAAAGAAUGCUUGCCUCUCCACUAUAAGGUUGAUAUCAGACUCAUGCCGAUGAACAUUCAGAUGCUUCGUGGAUUUUAUUUGGUUUGGAUAAUUGCCCAUGUGGCCUGUGAAUGCAUCCAUGCAGAUUGGAAUGUUUUUAUUUUAUUUUAAACAGUACAGAUCAGAGCAGAGGGUCUAAGGCUGAACAGACGUGUGGGGAUCGAAUACUUAGCAGUGUGGCUAACACGAUCAGGAUCUGUCCCACGCUAUAACCUGAUGGAAGAUGCGGCUCCAGCUGAGAUAAGUCGUGUCCAGAACUGGCAAUGGAUUAGGUAUGAAGUGGAGUUGGACGGAGAUGGGCUUGGAGUCAGGGUGAACAAAGAGUUGUUUGAGAGAGUUGUGGAAGAAGAGAUGGAAAGAAUCGAGAAAGAAGUUGGUAAAGAUAAGUUUAAGAAAGGAAUGUAUAAGGACAACUGCAAGAAGUUUACAAAGCAAUGUACUGCAAGUGAGCUUGAUGAUUUUCUUACACUUGCUGUUUAUGAUCAUAUUGUAGCUCACUACCCAAACAAUGUGUCAAGGCCCUGAGAGAAGAAAAGAAGAUGUUGGGAGAGAGAGUUUGAGAUAUGAGUGUUGUACUUUUGUCUUCUAUGUUUGUUUCUCAUUUGCUUUUUUUCUAUAUGUCUGUAUAUUGGAUGAACUUGAUGUUUUUAUCUCCAAUAUGAAAUAAAUGUUUCUAUAACA
Molecule: long non-coding RNA, 1355 nt
Organism: Brassica napus (rape)
Lineage: Eukaryota; Viridiplantae; Streptophyta; Magnoliopsida; Brassicales; Brassicaceae
Exons: 4
Source: RefSeq, a predicted model, not a curated record